AGAACGAACGCUGGCGGCAUGCCUAAUACAUGCAAGUCGAACGAAGGCUUCGGCCUUAGUGGCGCACGGGUGCGUAACGCGUGGGAAUCUGCCCCUUGGUUCGGAAUAACAGUUGGAAACGACUGCUAAUACCGGAUGAUGACGAAAGUCCAAAGAUUUAUCGCCCAGGGAUGACGCCCGCGUAGGAUUAGCUAGUUGGUGAGGUAAAGGCUCACCAAGGCGACGAUCCUUAGCUGGUCUGAGAGGAUGAUCAGCCACACUGGGACUGAGACACGGCCCAGACCUCC
RNAcentral lists this ribosomal RNA (287 nucleotides) under uncultured soil bacterium. RNAcentral describes it as "partial 16S ribosomal RNA". It matches the Rfam family "Bacterial small subunit ribosomal RNA", at positions 26 to 340 of the family's 1533-position model. The record is from RNAcentral.